Molecule: long non-coding RNA, 1743 nt
Organism: Herpailurus yagouaroundi (jaguarundi)
Lineage: Eukaryota; Metazoa; Chordata; Mammalia; Carnivora; Felidae
Exons: 3
Source: RefSeq, a predicted model, not a curated record
GGAUUAGCUGCAAAAGAAUAUUUAUUAGAAAAAAAAUCCCUUUUAUUCUUCUGUCCUUUUUGUGGAAUUAGCCAUAUAUUGCCUGGAUGAGAUAAGGGCAGCCCUUUGUGAGCGAGGAGCAGAGGUCCGACAUCUGGGUUACUGGCAAUGCCAAGAAAUCACAUCAAGGUGAAUCCCAUGCCAAGCUCUGAAGCAGAGGGUUGUAGACACCUGAGCUGUGCACGGGAGACGCCCUGAAGUUUAACCCAUGAGGACCUCCCGCCAUUUCCUCAGCUGACUGCUUUCUCGGAUCCUUUCAAAGAGGCGUUUCCUAGUGAUGGUCAGACAGCAGAAACCCGUCACAUCCAUGAGCCUAAUGUAAGCUUCAUAAGGAGAGCGCUGGGAGUUUCUCUCGUUUACCACCCAUCGAGUCCCUGGCAGAAAGUAGAUACUCAACAAAUAAGAGCCGAAUGAGAGAAUAAAUGGGGUCACCAGGUUGCCAGUGGAAUCCCUCCCACCUUCUAGCGGCCAGACUGCUGUCUCGGGCUGUAUGGAUACCGUUCUGUGUUCUUAUCGACUGAGGGGAGAACCACAGCUGGGCUGAAGUUCUCCGCGCAGCUCUUGGGACUUUUGAGUUCUCGUGAGGUGAUCACUGGUCUCACUCCUCUUGUUUGAUCUCCCCCGGACUCUCUGCUAAGUUAAGGUCCAUUCCCUACCACGCCCACUGUCUUCUUUCUCGAGAUUCUUAGCUUCUGGUCUUUGUGUGAAACACGUGGCUCUCUCCAACUGAAGCCCAGAAAGCUACAUGGUGGGGGGAAGGUUGUGGGCCGUUAGCUCCUGAGCUGCUGCUCCAGAGCCAGAGUCUCUUAGCAUGGUCCACCUGCGCUCGAUGCAGUUUCAUGAUGAGAUCAAGGAGCAGGUCAUCUGGACUGGUUGGGAUGGUUUCAGAAGAAGCCUGAAUACUUCCUGAAGCAGUCCACCUCUGCUUUUGCAAGUCCUCCGGAACUUUGUACCUUGAGAGCUGGCUCAGAGGCAGCCGAGGAGCCGGCCUGGAGACUCCCCUUUCUCUAGAGAGCGGGACUACAGCUUGCUGGCUGAGCGCACAGAGCCUCAAGGCCGCUCUACCUGUGUGCCCUGCUCAUGGUCCGCCCCCAGCCACUCCCUCCCCGGGCCUGUGCUGAAUCAGCAGCAUCCCCCUUGCUCUCUUGGCAGCGUGCAGCCCGGCUAAGCCAAGUGUGGUUACGAUGAGUCGGUUCAUCUGGAAGCUCGCAUCCUGUACCCUUUUCCAAUGUGAUGUUCCAGCCAACUGGCACCCGAGAGUAAAGAGAAACCCUGGGAACCGAGGCUGCUGAGGACUUACAGCCUUGCACAAGCCAAGGGCGAGGGCAACAUUGAGGGGAAGGUCGCCCCGCUGCCAGGCCUUUCUCUCUACUCCAUCUUUGUUCCUGUCUAGCAGCACAUGGCCCUGGCUGGCAGUCAGCGAUCCGCUGCUGGUACUUGCUGGUGGCUUGGCUAUCCUCCAUCUAGCCAGGGCAUUUGGACCUUUUUUCUAAUUCUGCUUAUGAGCUCGGGAAGCGAGCCAGUAGUUUCCCUUGGAAAUUGCCUCUAUUGAUGUCAUUUUCCAUCCUAGUCCCCGGGGGAAUCUGUUUCUCUAUUUCCUCCACAUUGACACUACUCUUGCCCUUGGCUCAAAUACAGAAGCCUCAGGUAGCACCAAUGCCAUGGGGAGGGGAAGGGAUGGGGGGGCACAUGUAAGGGACGGAG